This is a long non-coding RNA of Eucalyptus grandis, 957 nucleotides long. RefSeq lists it as uncharacterized. The transcript has 2 exons. Lineage: Eukaryota; Viridiplantae; Streptophyta; Magnoliopsida; Myrtales; Myrtaceae. The record is from RefSeq and is a predicted model, not a curated record.
AGCAAUCCUGUCACUUAAGGUGAUUUAUGUCAUGCAUAUCACGCAUAUAUCCUUCAUGAUAGUUUCCUAACAUGCUUCGUUGUCAUUCUUGAUAGGAAAUGUCAAUACCUGAAGAACAAAAACAUGUGAAGGGUAAAUUGUAUCGAUUUCAAUUGCUCAUUUUGAUACCGUUUCUGAAGUGAUUCUCUUUUCGUUUGAUUGAGAAAAGAUCAAACACUCAUAAGAGGUGUGGUACUAUUCUGAUUAGUGGUUCUUUUAAUGGUUACUGAUGAUUAGAACACAAGCUCGUAGGAUUUUUUUGUAGGAAAUUACAAUGAUAGUAGGUGUUCCAAUUGAAAAGGCUAGCACAAAUCGAGAGAGGGAAACAAAUUCGUCGUAUUUGAGCUGUUCGCAAGAGUCUUGACUGUAUAAAAUGCCGGCUUUUGGAAGGUAUAAAUGUUUAAGAGGUCAGGGCAGUGGUACUAGACAUGCAAGCUGGUUGUUAGAUUUGCUGGGUAAGGGUAUUGAGUCUGCUUUGGUGUAUCCUUCAGCAUUAGUAGCUGAGCCAUGGCAGUUAUCUAGUGAAAUGUUCUCUGGAAUUGAUCCUGAAGCUCGGGCUGCUGAAGUGGCACUUAUCCCAAGUAUACAGGUACCUUCACCUUCAUUUUGAAUUUUCUCCUUGUUGUCACAUUGAAAUUUGAAAUGCAGAUCUUCUGGCUGUGUUUUUGCCAUGGCUUGAGGCCAUUAUUUUGAUGGCCAUCUUCAUGUCCGGUUUCUAAACUGAAAUUCUCUUAUGGGCACUGUGAUGGUGAAAUUUAUUUACAAAAGGUGUAGGACAGAUAAGCUUUUUAAGUACAGAAACGUAGCUUUUGCUGAAAUAAUGGUUGCCCAGAUAUCUUUUGGCUUUCAAAUGAUGCUAUGUAAAUAUGUCAAGAUCGUCAAUUGAUGCGUGAAUUAAAUGACUGACAUAUUCUUGCA